UGGGGAAUAUUGGACAAUGGGCGCAAGCCUGAUCCAGCCAUGCCGCGUGGGUGAAGAAGGCCUUCGGGUUGUAAAGCCCUUUUGUUGGGAAAGAAAAGCAGUCGGUUAAUACCCGAUUGUUCUGACGGUACCCAAAGAAUAAGCACCGGCUAACUUCGUGCCAGCAGCCGCGGUAAUACGAAGGGUGCAAGCGUUACUCGGAAUUACUGGGCGUAAAGCGUGCGUAGGUGGUUGUUUAAGUCCGUUGUGAAAGCCCUGGGCUCAACCUGGGAAUUGCAGUGGAUACUGGGCAACUAGAGUGUGGUAGAGGAUGGCGGAAUUCCCGGUGUAGCAGUGAAAUGCGUAGAGAUCGGGAGGAACAUCUGUGGCGAAGGCGGCCAUCUGGACCAACACUGACACUGAGGCACGAAAGCGUGGGGAGCAAACAGG
Molecule: ribosomal RNA, 429 nt
Filed under: uncultured bacterium
Lineage: Bacteria
Description: bacterial SSU rRNA
Rfam family: Bacterial small subunit ribosomal RNA
Source: RNAcentral